GCCGCGGAGGAAGUUCACAGCGUGCGGCGCAGAGCGCUAACUGCACGGAGGUUCCGGGCUCGGGAGGCCCGCGGUCGGGAAUUUCCUAAAGGAAGCACCUCGCAGGGGCCCUCGGGGGGUCGGCGCGAGAGCUCGGGCUUGGAGGACCGGGUUCUAGACAGGAGUCAGAGUCUAAUUUCCCGCGGGACAUCCUCCAGAUCGCUUCCCUCAGUGGGCCUCGGUUUCCCGAUCUAUCAGCCGAGCUCGUCGCACCCGAUUAGGCCACUAACACUGGCCACAGUCCUCAGUGAAGUUGUGAAUGGUACCAGCUGAAGGGUGUCACGGCUGCAGUCGUUCAAGAUGGCGACACCCUUCAAGUUGAAGGUGGAGCGUUGUCUUCAAAACACAGAUGGAAGCUGGAGUGACUGCCAACAGCAUGCAUUCCUGAGGUGGUCUGAUGGAGUGUGGGGCCCUAGUGAGGGUGUGGUUCCCCAAGCAGGAGGCUUCUGCUC
Molecule: long non-coding RNA, 491 nt
Organism: Lontra canadensis (Northern American river otter)
Lineage: Eukaryota; Metazoa; Chordata; Mammalia; Carnivora; Mustelidae
Exons: 3
Source: RefSeq, a predicted model, not a curated record